This 482-nucleotide ribosomal RNA is filed under the name uncultured bacterium. RNAcentral's name for it is "partial 16S ribosomal RNA". It matches the Rfam family "Bacterial small subunit ribosomal RNA", at positions 30 to 507 of the family's 1533-position model. The record is from RNAcentral.
AUUGAACGCUGGCGGCAUGCUUUACACAUGCAAGUCGAACGGUAACAGGCCGCAAGGUGCUGACGAGUGGAGAACGGGUGAGUAAUGCAUCGGAACGUGCCCAGUCGUGGGGGAUAACUACUCGAAAGAGUAGCUAAUACCGCAUACGAUCUAUGGAUGAAAGCGGGGGACCGUAAGGCCUCGCGCGAUUGGGGCGGCCGAUGUCAGAUUAGGUAGUUGGUGGGGUAAAGGCUCACCAAGCCAACGAUCUGUAGCUGGUCUGAGAGGACAACCAGCCACACUGGGACUGAGACACGGCCCAGACUCCUACGGGAGGCAGCAGUGGGGAAUUUUGGACAAUGGGCGCAAGCCUGAUCCAGCAAUGCCGCGUGCAGGAAGAAGGCCUUCGGGUUGUAAACUGCUUUUGUACGGAACGAAACGGCUCUGGUUAAUACCCGGGGCUAAUGACGGUACCGUAAGAAUAAGCACCGGCUAACUACGUG